Molecule: ribosomal RNA, 578 nt
Filed under: uncultured bacterium
Lineage: Bacteria
Description: bacterial SSU rRNA
Rfam family: Bacterial small subunit ribosomal RNA
Source: RNAcentral
AGUCGAACGAGACCUUCGGGUCUAGUGGCGCACGGGUGCGUAACGCGUAGGCAAUCUACCCGAUACAGGGGAAUAACACGGGGAAACUCGUGCUAAUACCGCGUAAUAAAUGAGAAGGCAUCUUCUUAUUUUAAAAGCUUCGGCGGUAUCGGAAGAGCCUGCGUCCUAUUAGCUAGUUGGUAAGGUAACAACUUACCAAGGCGACGAUAGGUAGGGGAACUGAGAGGUUGAUCCCCCACACUGGUACUGACAUACGGACGAGACUCCUACGGGAGGUACCAGUGAGGAAUAUUGGUCAAUGGACGGAAGUCUGAGCCAGCCGUGACGCGUGUCGGAGGACGGCCCUCUGGGUUGUAAACAGCUUUUCUUUGGAAAGAACACGCUCUUGCGAGAGCAACUGACGGCACCAAAGGAAUAAGCACCGGCUAACUACGUGCCAGCAGCCACGGUAAUACGUAGGGUGCACGCGUUGGCCGGAUUUAUUGUGUUUAAAGGGUGCGUAGGCUGCUAUUUAUGUCGUGGGUGAAAGCCCGUCGCUUAACGACGGAAUUGCCUGCGAUAAUGGAUAGCUUGAGUAU